Molecule: ribosomal RNA, 443 nt
Filed under: Reticulidia halgerda
Lineage: Eukaryota; Metazoa; Mollusca; Gastropoda; Nudibranchia; Phyllidiidae
Description: partial 16S ribosomal RNA
Rfam family: Archaeal large subunit ribosomal RNA
Source: RNAcentral
AGCUUUAGGACAAUGAUCUAAAGUUUAACCUGCCCAAUGUAUCUUUAGAUUAUGAAUGGCCGCGGUACUUUGACCGUGCUAAGGUAGCGCAAUUAAUUGGCUCUUAAAUGGAGUCAGGUAUGAAUGGAAUUACGGAAUCUAGCUGUCUCUAUAUUAAUUUCUUGAAAUUACUAUGUAGGUGAAAAAGCCUACAUGAACAAAAGGGACGAGAAGACCCUGAGAGUUUUAUUUAAUGUAAAAUUAUUUUUAUAAUAAUUUAGUUGGGGCAACAUAGGAACAGAAAUAAACUUCCUUAAAUUUAUUUAACGAUUUUUAUAAAUUUAGAUAAACUACCUUAGGGAUAACAGCAUAAUUUUAUCAAUAAGUUUGUGACCUCGAUGUUGGACUAGGAAAUUAAAAGGCUAGCCGCUUUUUAAAAUGGUUCUGUUCGAACUGUUAAUCCU